GAGGGUCAAAAAAAGUGGAAGAACCAUUGACCGGCUUGUAGAAGUAUACUGUUGGGAUGUGUACCAUUGGCACCAAGAGGUCCAGAUUUGAGCUCCAUAGGCUUUUUUCCGGCGUGUCUUCGGCAGGUCGCACGACAGUUGACGCUUUUAUUCGAAUUUCAACUCUUACCAUCUGCAUAUUUGCAACAAAAUCAUGUUAAAGUCCUGUCUGUUCAUAUAUGCUGUUUAAAUUGUUGAAAAUCAACUCCAGGUUUGCUUAGCUUAGUAAAUUGCAGUAUAUGUUAAACAUUAAUGAAGCAGAAUUAAAUAUUAAACUCAUACUUUAUUCGCCUGGCUAGAAUUUUCUUCUUAGAAGAACAAAACAAGAUAGAGAGGGGGGGGGGGGUGUUGUACGCAGAUGAGGACGACCACUCGUAUUUAUAGAAGAAAAAAAAGAAAGGAAGGAAGAAACGAGGGAGUGAAGGCAGCCUUGAAGCUUCAAAUUAAAAACCAUUUGGGCUCGCGGCAGUUCAACCGUGUUUUUCUAAUUUAUUUUUUUAUAUUUUAAAAAUAUUUUGAUAUAAUAAUAUAAAAAAUUAUUAUUUUAUAAUUAAUAUUGUUGUCUCAAGAAUAGUGUUAUUUUUUAAUAUAUAUUAUCUCGUUGAUUCAGGAUAUCCAAAAAAAUACUAUUACUUAGAUCCAUAUAAAAAGAAUAAGAGAUAUUAUCUUUCAGAAUUUCAUCGACGACGAUAACCACAAAGUCGAGAGGAAAUAUUCAACCAUAUCCAUUUAUCAUUACGAUGAGUAAUAGAACGUAUAUUUGAAGUUUGGAAGAAAAGGUGGAGAAUCUUGCAAAACAUACUUGAGUUUCCUUACAAAACACAAGUUAAAAUUGGUAUUGCAUCAAUGGCACUGCAUAGCUACAUUCGAAGGAAGUCGAGCCAAGAUGUUGCAUUUAACGAGUUUGAUAUUCAUUUUGAUUUUGUUCCUCCUGAUACUUUAACCGAUAUGGUUCCACAAUCACAACCACGUGGGCACCAGAAAGCUUUGUGUAUGAAUUAUGUUUUGUGAUGGCAUUGCAAAUAGUUUGAUGGGACAAUAAUAUUUAUUUUUUAAUGUAAAAAAAUGAUUUUAUUUUUCUGCUAGUUUUUGUUUGGAUUAAAUAUUUUGUUUCCUCUUAAAACAAAGAAUAAAUUCAUUUAUUUUCUUUUUAGUCAUUUUAUAUACAACAUUAUCCGCAACUAUAAUUUUAACCAAACAUAUCAUGUCAUGAUUUUUGGCAAAAUAAAAUCAAAUCAUAAUUUUAACCAAACACAUAUUAUAUACGCACCAACCACACAAAAAAAUAAUUUUUUCAAAAUUACUUUUUAUAAAUCAUAACUAUCACAAUUACCACAAAAACAAAAAUAUAUAUCCAUUGAGAUGUUAUACUGUGUACGAUAAAAGUACAAUUUGCGGUCGCUAUUUUUUUUAUCUUUUGAUUCUUAGAUUUAAAAAUUACAUUGACAAUCAACAUUUACAUUGACAAAGUAAAAAAAUCAAAUUAGUAAUUAACAAUAACCAUAACAAUUAUUUGUCAAAUAGUUGCAAUAAUAAAUAGACAAUUACUUAAAGUGCCGCUAAAUAGGAUAUUCGGCCUUAAAAAUAUAGUUAUUUUUGAAAGUGUAUUUUUUAAUAUUUAAAUAAUAUUUUUUUUUUUUUUAAUAUAAACAUAUUAAAAUAAUCUUUAAAAAAUAAGGCAGAUUCCUUGUCAGAAAGAAAUUAAUGUAGGGGGAUUAUUGUGGGACCUCAGUACGAGAUUUCGUGUCUUACGUGUCUACCAUUUACCCACUAAGGCAGAUUCCUUGUCAGAAAGGACAGAUGCAACUGUGCUAGACUGCUAGCAUCUACGACAUGCAAUGAGCUGCCUGCCACCUGUCUCUGGCAGUUCUGUCUUUUUCUUUCUCUGUACUGCCAACGCUAAUUAUUGGACAUUUUUACUGCCUUUGAUUGUCCUCCUCCUUCCUUGAUGCCCCCCCAGUCCCACCUCCUAUUUCCGUUUUUCACAAUUAUAAUGGUAUUUUUUUAUUUCGGGAUAUUCGGUAAUAUUAAUAAUUCAAAAUAUUAGUUUAAAAAAUAUAAUAUUAAUUCAAACACAAAUAUAAACAAACUUAAAUUUAUACAAUUCAAAUCUCAAAUACAAAUAAAAAAAUAUAAGUUAAAUCAAUUUAUUUUUUAAAUCUUAAAUAUAAACUUGAAAAAUAUAAUUGAACGGAAUAAAAUUACGAUUUGAAAAAGUAUAUGGCUACAUGUUAACAAAAAGAUAUCUUGUUUUACCAGUGAAGUGGAUUGCGCAAGUGGACUGCUGGAACAUGUCAAUAUAUAUAUAGUAUGUUUUUAAGAACAUAUAUGUAAUAUCGGUUGAGAUCAAGUUAAAUAAAAAAUAUAUUUAAUAGUUGAAUAAAAAAGACAAUUCUAAUCUGUUAAAUUAUUUUUUUAUUAAAAAUCAUUUUCAAAUGUUUUUUAUUUUAAUAUAUUAUAUUUUAAAAUAAUGAAAAGAAUUUCUUUUAUUGAAUUGGGAUAUUUGAAAGAAUAAUAAUAAUUGCUUUUUAACAUGUUUUUUUUAAUAUAUUAAAAUAAUAUUUUUUUUUAAAAAAAUUAUUUUUUAUAUAAACACAUCAAAACCAUUUAUAAAUAAAAAAAAUAAUUUAAAAAAAAAAAAAAACAAAAAACCAAACUUUCCUACUGAAAAAACACUUCCCAUGAGGAAGCUUGUGAAAUUGGUCUCCAGAUGCAUGCCUGCUACAUUACGGCAGCCGUGUGAACUCCACGGAUGAGGUUGAAUGUUCGUGGGCCCCUCCCUUACGUUGGCCCGGGCUAGCUGUGUGUAAUUAAUGUUUAUUGUUUUAUAUAUUAUAUCGCUAUCAGUAAUAAAUUUAAAAAAGCAUUUUAAUAUAUUUCUAUAAAAAAAACAAUUAUUAUCACCCUUUUAAAUACUUCAUUAAAAUAAUUUAAUAUAUAUUUAUUAAACAACGGAUUUACCGCCCGAGUCAAAAUGAUGAUUUAAUUCGACCGGCACCCUCAUUCCCCCAUUAAAAGCCCCUAGCAAGCUUGCUUAGCCUAACCAGAGGCCGCCUACCAGAGUCCUUCCUUCCAGAUAAUCAUAAAACAUUCAACAGAGAUUUUGUGCUAGGAAAAACUCCCAGAAAGUAAGCUAGGGACUUCUCUUAAUGAUAUGCUAUCAGUGAAAUUUUGGGAUCUCGGAUCCGCUUUAACUCAGUAGAAAGCAGCUCAUGAAGUAUUGCUUCAAAUAUCAUACAUAGGUAAGUUAACUUCACUGUCAAACUUAGGAGAGAUGGAUUGCAGAUCAUAUGCGAUUCAUGCUGUGAAUAUUAUAACAAAAUGAUACUAUACUAGUUUAAAGGAUUUCAUAGUCAUAUAUAUACACCCUGAAAUGCCACCAGCUGUGGAUUUCGGAUUCCUUUGUAAGGCUCCAAGGCGCAGGCAUCACUCAUGCGAAGCUGGCAACAAUGGCAGCAGAGCUGUCCUACUGUUCAAGCUUCAAGGUAGCAUAUUUGGAUAACAGCUCCUGCAUGAAAUUGGUUAACUGAUGUUUAGAGAAAAUUUCAAUUAUCUUAGUUAUCAUGAACUUAGCAUUUGAAGAGUACCUGAUCUUCAGCUUCCAUCCCCUCGGCGUUUUGCUUCUGAGCCCACUUCUUUGCAUUUCUUUCCAGCAAAACAUAUUUCAUCACCUGCAACAAAAACCAAAUCAGUGUAGGAUCAAAACAGUUUACCGAACUCCUGAGAAGCGUUUUCCCUUUGCCAUCCUAUGUGCAAUUCAUGAUGUUACGAGACUGAGACUGUACAUCCAGUAAUUUUGUUUUGGUGGUCUGGGAUAGGUAGAACUCUGCUCUAGCUUCCUCCUGGUUCAAGCACCGAUCAACCUGAGAAAAUAGAAAGAGAACGAAUUAUAGGUUGUUACAUAAACAUAGAAUUGACUUCUUUGGGAUGCCAAAGUUUCGAGCAUUACUGACCUUCCGCAGGUAAUUGGAGAAGGAAUCACCCCAAAACCACCACUCCAAAGAUAGCUGAGAGUAGUAAGCAGCAGCUUCUGCUAGCAUUAUCUGCUCCAAUUUUUCAUAAUAGUUGGUGGUUCCAUUCCCUCCAACCUCUAAAAAGAAAUCAAGUACCCUCUUUAGUAGGUUCCGAUCAAUCUGCCCCCCUUCACGCUCUUGAAUGAUCUGCCCGUAAAGUCAUAUGCAGGGUUAAACCAACCUCAGAAAGAAGACAACCCAUUAUGAAACAACCAGUGAAUGCUAACUGACCAGCCUCAUCAUUGCUUCCUGCAAUUUACUGAAUAGCUCAUCACAGACCUGAAAAUAAGAUUGGAUAUGAUGCUCAGCCAAAUUGUGUAAGAGAACAGAAGCAAGAAUAAGAACUAAACUACUUCAUGUAGUUACUUACCAAAUUGCAGAAGUAAUAUCUCAUGGAGUCAGCAGGUGAUGGAUGUCUUUUCCUACGGAUGUAGAAAUUAUCCAGGUCUGCAAAGGUUUCUGACAAUUCCUUAUACUCCAGCCAUAAUCGCGUGAUUUCUGUUAAAAGCUCUGUACCAUGUUUGUCCAUUAACACUGGAAGUACCUGAAAGAGCAUGCAAGGAUGGAAAACAACGGGAUGUGUUCAUUAUUAUAUUCAUUGCACUUUGACAAAGAUGAAAGCAAAAGAAAUUGAAACCCUUCUCAACUGCCACGUCUCAUUUCUCCACUUGUGUAAAUUACAAAGACCACCAAUCCAGACUAAGCUAGAUAGCGAGAGAAAACAAAAUUGGGCAUGCAUAAUCAUGAGUAAAGCAUCUUGCAAAAUUAUCCUAUGAAAUAAGUUAUAAACAAGAGAGCAUGUCAUAGUAAGAGUUUCUCAUACUUUGACAUUCUUAGCCAACACAUUUAAGAUACAUGAGAGCCAAUUCUACCAGAGAAAUUAUGCAGAAGCGAAGAAACUGGAAGAAUUAUUGAUUAUAUAUGGUAGAAAUCUCACCCUUUCUUGAAUUAUCUCACUUAAACAGUUCGUAUACUUCUCAUAAACCAGGCUGCAAGAGUCCCCACGCUUCCUUGUGCACAAAUUGUAUACACACCUAUCACAAGUGUUAAGGAUAUGCCAAUUCUCGGCAACUAAAAUCACAUUCAGGAAUAUUGAUUUAUCUCGUCGAGUAGAAAAAAAAUUAACAUAUCAAACUUCGACAUGUAAGUAAACCAUAUUGCAGGAUACUCAUAAGCAAUCAUUUUUUCCGCAGGUGUAAAUGGAAUCACAGGGUGUCCAUCCAUAAUCAUCUUCUUCUUCGUAAUUAUAUCAUCUAUCUUCUUUAGCUUCUCAUUCAACAUCAUGUCAGCAUCCAUCUUCAUUUAGCUGCAGUCGAAAACAUUUAAAAUUGUAAUGAUCGCAGUUCAAAAUCAAAGAAAGAGAUAGCAUGCAUAUCUGUAUUGCACACUCAUCCGACUAUUUCUCAUUUUCCUUUUAAAAAUAGAAUUUCUAAAGUCUACAAUAGCAUCCAAAACCCUUUGAACAGACUAGAAAGUUUCUGGCGUUGACAAUUAAACUUUAUACCAAACAAACUACAUCCAAGGUCCUGUUCUAUAGGGAAGUGAAGAAAAAAGUGGGGUUUGCAUUAUACUUAUAGGGAAAGCAGCUUGCAGGGGAAGUUGAAGGGAAAGGUGGGGCUUGCAUAUACUUGUAAGGAGAAGCCACCUUGCAGUGAAAGUUGAUAGGACAUAGGUCCAUAGACCAUACGCUGUUGUUUAUUAUGUAAUAAUUGUUGUAUUUUUUAAAAAUAUUUUUAUUCAAAAAUAUAUUAAAAUAAUAUUUUUUAAAUUUUUAAUAUUAUUAUAUUAAAAUUAUAUUAAAAAAAAACAUGUUAAUUUGAUAUUUUUUUCAUAUACAAAAUAAUUUUAAAAAUAAUUUGAAUUAAUUUAAAUAAAAUUCAAUAAAGCAUAAAUAAUGAUAGCCAUAGUUGUAAAAAACUACUUAAAUGAAUUCAUUUGAUUCAAGAUUCAGAUCGAGAAUUAAGUGGUUUAAUAUGUAAAUUAAUUUAUAAAUUAUAAUUUAAAAAAUAAAAAUAUAAAAUGAUGUUAUUUUAAAUAUUUUUCUAAACAAUGUUAUUUUGGUUAUAUAUAAAAAAAACAAUUCAAAUAAAACUUGAUGUAAACCACAUUUUGGGUCAAUGAAUUACUAGAUUGGCAAGUCAGACAAAGUCAAUUUUUAUAAUUAUGAUAGUAAAGGCUAAGUUGCUUAGUGAAAAAUGGCACUAAAAUAUAAUAUGUGUUUAGAAAUGUGGUAAUUUUUAUUUUUAUGUGUGUUUUAAAAGUGUAUUUUAUUUGAAAAGAAAGACAAAUAGUAAAUUGAUAUUAUUUUAGUGUUUUUUUUUAUAAUUUUAAUGUGUUGAUAUCAAAAAUAAAUAAAUAAAUCUAAAAAAAAAUAUUUGAUGUAUUUUCAAGCAAAAACUAUUUUAAAAAAAAUAUUUUACAUCACAAUACCAAACAUAUAUUAUUCAAAUUGAGGACUAAGUGGUUUAAACCGUAGAUUAAUUUAUAAAUUAUGAUUUAAAAAAUAAAAAUAUGAAAUGAUGUUGUUUUAAAUAUUUUUCUAAACAAUGUUAUUUUAAUUAUAUAUAUAUAUAUAAAUUUAGUAAAACUUGAUGUAAACCAUAUCUUGGGUUAAUAAAUUACUAGAUUGACAAAUCAAGCAAAAUCAAGUUUUAUAACUAUGGUUGUAAAUGCUAAGUUGUUUGGUGAAAAGUGGUACUAAAAUAUUAUGAGUAUUUGAAAGUGUUUUAUCUUUUAUUUUUAUAUGUGUUUUAAAAGUGCAUCUCAUUUGAAAAAAAUAUUAAAUUAAUGUGUUUUUUGCUUUUUUAUAAUUUUAAUGUCUUGAUGUUAGAAAUAAAUAAAAAAUCUAAAAAAACUUAUUUAAUGCAUUUUGAAGUAAAAUUAUUUUUUAAAAAUACUUUAUAUCAUAGUACCAUACAUAUUUGUAAUGAAUACUACAAACAACUUCCUCUCUGUAUCUUUGACUUGAAGUUGAAAUAUUUAAAUGACAUAUUAUACUAUAACUUAAAAUGCGUGAAUUUUUUUACUAUAGAGGCAAUUAUUGUUUAUGCACACGCAAAUCACUAUGAAUAGAAUUGUUCUGCACUAUGCAUUUGUUAAAAUUUUAUUUUGGUCCUUAAAGUUUUUUUCUUGAUGAUUUAAUUCUAAUUAAAGGCCAAUUGAUUGUAAUUUUUUAGGAAAAGGUGGGGUUGAAAGAAGAGGGACUAUAAUGAAAAAGGUGUCAAACAUGGAUGGCAUGCCAUAAGUUUCAACAAAAAAUACACUUUGAUCCUCAAACUUUAAAAAUAACAUAAAUUAUACAAUUUCAGUACCUCAAUAUUUUUCAAGUUUAAGUUUUGUACAAAAACUUAUUUUUAUUAUUUUUUAGUUCCUGACUAGACAGAUGAGAGAAAAAGGUCGUCGAAUUACAGAAGUAGUAAAAGAAAAAUAUCGUUGAUACCGAUUUAGGUCAUCAAAACAGUCAAUAUUUGUGUCAAAUGGUUCCAAUUGAUGAUGAGAAUUUAUAUUAAGUAUUUUUUUGCCCUAAAAGUCUUUGAAAAUACAUAUACAAGCUCAAUUUGAAUUUUGGUUUCUGGUUUAUUUUAGUUUUUGGGGUGGUUUUUUUUUUCCCCAAGAUAAGUUUAUCAUAGUUUUAAUGUUUUCUAGGUUUAUAUUCAAGCCACCUGCCCUAAAUGAAGCAAAAAAAUAAAAAUAAAGACCCAAUCGACCAAUCCUUCUAGGGCAAGUCUAGGCACGAGCCUUGAAGAAAUGGGCUAGUCAGGUUAGUCAGGCCCAACAACAUCUAGUUUUUUUCUGUUUUUUAAUUAAUGCUUUUUACUUUAUUUGUAUUUAGAUUAAUAUCUCUUCUCUAUUUUAUUUUGUUUAAAAAACCUCUUUUAAAUUAGUUAAAAAAAACAGGUGUUUUGAAAGAAAAAAAAGUUUGAAGCCCAAUUUUCCAAUCAUCAGAAUAUUUUUUUUCAAGUCACCCUACCCCAAAUGCAGCAAAAACAAUAAAGGCCCAGUCUCUCCAUUUUUCAGCACAAGUCCAGGCACGAGCCUUGAAAAAAUAAGCCGAACAAGCUAGCUUGAUACAAAAGCGUCUGGUUUUUUUUGUUUUUUUAAUUAAUAUUUUUUUAUUUUAAUAUUUUUUAUUUUAUUUGUAUUUAGAUUAAUAAUUCUUCUCUUUUUUAUUUUGUUUUGAAAGCUUCUUUUAAAUAACAAUUAUUUUUUAGUUAUAUAUAUAAUUUUUGAAAAAAAAUUUCUUAUUCAUCUAUAAUCUUUUAUAAUUUUUUUUAAUAUUUUGUAUAUAUGAACUUUGUUUUGAAGAGGGGAAAAAAUUUAUUUGCAGAUAAUAUAUUGCAUAAUAUUUUUUUAUUUAAAUAAUUAAUGUGUAUUUAUUUAUAUUAUCAUUUAAUUGAAUAAAAAACCAUUUAACUACUUAGAAAAUUUUUAUAUAAACAAGUUUAACCAUUUUUAUAUAACAUUCUACAGAAAAGUUUGUGCUGGGAAGACCCCCGGCAUGUAAUCUAGGGAGAUUUGUCUUAACCAUAUCCUCUCAGUAAAGUUUUGGGAUCUAAGAUCCCUGCCACAUUAACAUCAGAGUGUUUAGAUUUGUGGUUUAGCGUAUUUUUUAAAGUAAUAUUAUUUAAAAAUGUAUUAAAAUAAUAUUUUUAAAAUUUUUUAACAAACAUAUAAAAAAAACUAAAAAGUAUUAUUUUAAAAAAUAAAAAUACGGUUCAACUUUAUCUCCGCGGCACACCACAAAUACAAACACAAAUUACUCGGUAGAAUGCAAGUAGAGAAGUUAUAUAGACAAGUUAAACCAUUUAACUGACUUCAUUGUCACACUCAGGAGAGUUGGGUUGCAGAUCAUACGCAAUUCAUGCUGCUGAAUAUUAUAACAGAACGAUAGUAUACUAGUUUAAAGGAUUUCAUAUUCGUAUUUAAUUAUUUAAUUAUUUUAUUUUAUUUGUGGGGUGUACCUAAAAAUGAGUUACAACAUAGUGCAUAGCGGGGAUAGGCGGAGCUUGAGCGUCAAGCAAGGUACGAUCAAUGAACAGUGGGCUGGUAAGAGAUAGUCCUCUUGCUAUUUCGGACCACGAGUUCAUAAAAUGGAUUGCAGAAGUUCCAUCUCCCAAGAUAUGGUGUAAGCCAACUCCAAGACAUACUCCUCCACAUUUAAAGAAGGUUGCCUAUUAGUCGUGGCGGAGCCAGAGUAUUUAAAAUGAGAGUACAUAUUAAUAAACAAAUAAUGAUAUUCAUAAUAUUGAAGUGUGCUUCCUUCUAGAAACUAAAAUUAAGAUUUGCACAGAUUCUCUUAUUUUUCGUGUUUGGAAUAAUAGCAAUAUUAAUUGGGCUUGUAACGAGGCUGAAGGUAGUAGAGGGGGUAUGAUUGCUCUUUGGGAUGAUACUAAAUUUCAGGUUUCAUCAGUUGAAUAUGGUUACGGGUGGAUUGGUCUAUACGGUCAGCAUAUGCAAAGUGGUUUUAUCUGUGCUAUUGUUGGUGUUUAUGCCCCUUGUUCUAUGUCAGAAAAAAAGGGAUCUUUGGAAGAACUUGUGUAUCCUUAGACAUGCCUUCCCUAUUCCGUGGUUGAUGGUGGGAGAUUUUAAUGAGACUUUGAAUCAGAUUGAUAGAAGCAGUGGCUAUCUUCAUAUCAAGGGCUCUUCAGCUUUUAGGAAUUUUCUGGAUUCUUGUCACCUUAUUGAGUAUCAACUGGCUGGAGGUUACUUCACUUGGUUCAGGAAUUGCUUGAUGAGCAAACUAGACCGUGCUUUCUCAGAUGAAUCCUUUCUUCUACAAUUCUCAAAUGUAAUGCUCCAUCGAUUACCCAGAGAAAUGUCAGACCAUUGCCCCUUGCUUGUUUCUGAUUCCCUCCUAGAGAGCGGUUAUCGGCCUUUUAAAUUUUUGGACUGUUGGCUUCAAUUUCCUAACUUCAAAAAUAUUAUUAGAGGCUUUUGGUUUGAUGGGUGUACAACAUUCCCAGGACGUUUCAGAUUUAUUAAGAAGCUUAGCUUUGUAGCAGCUCAACUUCGGCGAUGGAACAAAGAUGAUUUUGGUGAUCAGGAGUACAAGCUUCAGGUUGUGAUUUCCCAAAUUGAUGAUCUAGAGAGAAAACAGGAGGCUGAUCCUCUAUGUCCCUCAGAUCACCUCAAGCUUGAAUCUCUUAUAAAGGAUAAAUGGACCUACAGUAAUAGAGUUGAAUGCAAGUGGAGGCAGAGAUCUAGACAGUUGUGGUGCAAGCUAGGGGAUCGUAAUACCAGGUUUUUCCAUUUGAUAGCUAACUUCAGAAGAGCUAAAUCUCAUAUUAUGAUGAUCAAUCAUAAGGGGGCUGAACUCCGGUCAUUACCAGAAAUCAAAUCUGCUGCUGAUUAUUUUUUAAUCUGUAUAGAGCUCCAAUUGGGAAGAAAGCAGAGAUGGGUCAAAAAGGUUAAAUUCAAAGUUGUCUCUUUGGCUAGAGCGAGAUGUGACAUUGGAUGAAAUUAAAAGAUGUGUGUGGGAUUGUGAUGGUUCUAAGAGUCCUGGUCCAGACGGUUUCAAUUUUAAAUUCUAUAAGCUCGCUUGGGAUUUUAUUGCAGAAGACUUAUUGGACCUGAUCACUGAAUUUUUUAGAACAGGGUCUAUGCCGAAAGGGGUUAACCUCUCCUAUAUCACUUUGGUGCCGAAAAGAAAGGUUACUAUGGAAUUCAAAGAGUAUCGCCCCAUUAGUUUGAUCCAUGGUAUUUACAAGAUUAUUGCGAAGAUUUUGUCCAGCAGAUUAAAGGAAGUAAUAGGCAGCUUGAUUAGUGACAAUCAGACUGCUUUUAUAGCAGACAGACAAAUUGUUGAUGGUUUUAUGGUAGCUAAUGAAGUGGUUUAUGAUCUAAAAAGAAGUCGAAGAUCGGGUCUCAUCUUCAAGGUUGAUUUCCAAAAAGCUUUUGAUUCAGUUCUAUGGGAUUACAUUGAUGAGGUGAUGACUUACAUGGGUUUUGGUGCUAAAUGGAGAGGGUGGAUUUCCUCUUGCUUGUCUACUAGUCAGGUUUCAGUCUUAGUCAAUGGCUCUCCUUCCCCAGAGUUCAAAGUGGGGCGAGGUAUUAGGCAAGGUGAUCCCCUAUCUCCCUUUCUUUUUAAUAUUGCUGCUGAAGGUCUAUCUGUUCUCUUCCAACGUGCGGCAUCCUCAGACAUCUUUCAGGGUAUUGAUUUUGGCUCCAAUAACUUCUUAAGUCACCUUCAAUAUGCAGAUGACACUCUUGUCUUUAUGCCAGCUAGUUUGCAUGCCCUCCAGUCAGUUAAAAGAGUCUUAAGGUGGUUUGCUCUAUGCUCAGGCUUGCACAUUAAUUUUUUUAAGAGUUCUCUUAUAGGAAUCAAUGUUGAUGACUCCUGCUUGGAUGAGUUUGCAAAAUCAGUUUACUGCAGGCAUGAUUCUCUUCCAUGUAAUUACCUGGGAAUGCCUUUGGGGUCUAACCCUAGAAGGAUUUCAACAUGGAAACCCGUCAUUGAUAAGUUUCGAAAGAAACUCACUUCGUGGAAAGGGAGAAUGUUAAGCAUGGCCGGUUGCAUUUGCCUUAUCAAAAGUGUGUUGAACUCCCUUCCUUUGUACUUCAUGUCCAUCUUCCUUAUGCCAAAAGGUGUGUGUCGCUUACUUACUUCCAUCCAACGCAAAUUCUUAUGGUCGGGAACUGUCAAAAUGAGAAAAAUUUGCAAAGUCCAAUGGAGCGUGGUUGUUAGAGAUAAAGAUAGGGGUGGCCUUGGGAUUAGGUCAUUGAUAGCCAAGAAUAAAGCAAUGAUUUUCAAGUGGAUUUAGAGGCUCUCUCUUCCUGGUAAUGAGCUGUGGAAGAAGAUGAUAUUCAACAAAUUCAAGCCGGUGUUUGAAAAUGAUUUCCCUAUUUUUAGUAGAAGAUUGUCUUGUAUCUGGAGGGAUAUAACAUCCCUUAUGACCACAACAGACUCUGUCUCUUCAGCUUUAGCCAAUAAUUGCAGAUUUGUAGUGGGAAAUGGCUCUCUGACUCGAUUCUGGUAUGAUGUUUGGUUUGAUAGCUCUCCAUUGAAAGUCAUCUACCCUCGACUCUACAUUCUUACCACUAAACCGAAUGCCACAAUUGCUGACAUGGGAAUUUGGGAGCAAGGAGAAUGGAAGUGGGAGUUAGCUUGGAGGAGACAAUUGUUCCUCUUUGAAACUGAGCAGGUCGUCUACCUUCUCUCAUCUCUAGAAAGCUUUCGAAUAAAGGCAACAACUUUAGAUAAAAAAGUCUGGUCCUCUUCAACAGAUGGAGGGUAUACAGUUAAAACUUGUUCUCUACUUAUUGACAAGAUUGUGAAUCCAGGGCUUAGAACUUUCAAGGCUUCGAUAUGGCAAAAAGGGGUCCCUCCUAAGGUUCAAUCUUUUCUUUGGCUAGCUGUUCAGAAUAGACUAUGCACUAAGGAUUUCUUACUUGACCGUAAUAUAAUCCCAGUUGAUCAAGCCUUUUGUAUCUUUUGUGAAAAUGAGAUUGAGACUUCAAAUCAUCUUCUCCUCCAUUGUAGACCAGUGUGGAAAUUAUGGAUGAAAUUCUUGGAUUGGUGGGGUAUUAGUGGUUGCCUUCCCUGCUGUGUGGAUGAUCUUUUACAUCAAUGGCCCAACCUAGUGUUCGGAAAAUUCCAGCGUAAGGCUUGGUCUAUGCUUUCUUGUUGUGUUAGCUGGAGUAUAUGGCUUAUGAGGAACAAGGUAAUCUUCAAUGAUGGAACUGCGACCUUCGAAGAUAUUUUCUCCUUAAUUCUUUAUCGCCUCUCAAAUUGGCUCAAGUUUGUAGAUAAGUUCUUCAUGGCUACUGGCACUACUUUAAUUAUGGGUCCUGAAGGUAUUAUAGAUUGGUCUAACACCAAAUAAAGGCUUUUAGCAUGGCGUAUCAACUUCUUCAUUCCUAAUGUCCUUUUUCAGUUAUGUAUCUGUUGACUUUCUUUUCCUUUCUUUUUGUGUUUGUUUUUUGUUAUUGUGAUUUUUUUUUUUCAUGUAUCUUGUUUUUGGCUACCUUCUGGUUAGCCCUUUCAAUAUAUCGACUUAUUCCAAAAAAUAUUAAUAAACAAAUAUUAUAUUAUAUAGAUAUAUAUUAAAAAUCAAUUCGAAACAAAUAUAUUAAUUUAUUUAAAAUAAAAUUAAUUUAAAAAUACUUUUAAAAUGAAAAAACUUAUAUUAUAAUUAUUCUCUUUAAAUUUUCAUAAUAAAAAACAUAUUAAUUCAUCAAAACUCAUUUUACACCCCAUUACCAUGUAGCAUGCUGUAAAUAAUACAUGAAUAUGGAUCAUCAUUGAUAGUUUAAAUUUAUCAUGAUAGAUCAUUUUUAAAAAUAAAAUAAAUAUUUUUUUCUUUUUUUUUAAACCAAUCUUUAAUUUUGCAACUAUCAAUAUUUACUUAUUGAAAACAAUUGAAAUAUUUGUUUGUUUAUCUCAUGAAAAAAUUUAAUUUCAUACCGUAACCAAUUCAAUUAGAAAUAAUAUAAUUUUUAAUUAAUUCAAAAUAAUUAAAUCAAUACCUAUUUUUCAAAACAAUUCAAAAAAAAUUAAAGGGGCAAUUGCCCCCUUAAUCUCCCUAUGUGGCUCCGCCACUAAACACAUUUUUCAAACUCAAUAUAAAUAAAAAAAAACUAAAAAACUAGUUUUUUUCAUUUUCAAGAUACAAAAAAUAAAUACUUGGAUUUGAUUUUUUAGGUUAUUUGUGGUGAUAAUAGUGACUGAAAAUUGAAAUAAGAUAAAGGUGAGAAGAGUAAUAAAAAAAAUUGAAUUUAGUAUUUUAAACAUAUAAAUUCAAUUUAUUUGUCAAUUACAAUAGAAUUAAUUCCAAACAACCUCUGAAUAAAACCAUUAUAGGCUGAAUAUGUACCAUUAUUAAAACCUCAACUACACAGUCACCAAAACACUCUUCUUUUCUCUUCCUGUCAUAUUGUCUGUCCUCGAUUUUAUGCCUUGCGUAGUCUUGAAAAAAUAAGGCCUUGAACAAAAAAAUAUUUGGAUAUGAUAUUUUGGGUUAUUUGUGGUGUUAGCAGUGAAGGUGAUAAGGAUAAUAUAAAAAACAAGAUAAAUUAAAUUUAGUGUUUCAAAACAUAUAAUUAAUUUCAAUUUACUUAUUAAUUAAAUUCAAAUUUAAUACAAUAAUUAAAUUCAAUUACAAUAAAAUUAAUUUCAAACAACAUGUAAAUAACAUUAUUAAGUGUGAUGUUGAAAAAAAAAACACAACAAAUGAAGUUAUACCGUAUAAAUCAUGAACUUGCGAAUUAGAAAUCGUAAAAGAACUUCUUGAAGAGUUCCAUGUGAUGGCUUUCUAGGCAAAUAAAUAUCAUUAAGCUCCCAUCAUUAUUUGGGCAUCGAGCAAUGUAUGCCAUGCCUUCGAAGCCAACAAUUGCGGGCCCCAUAAAAGAGGGUCGACCCCAACCAAAGUCAGCAUCAUAUAUCGGCAUUGUCAUCCAACUCACAACAUUGAUGUUUGGAUUAUUAAAUGUGUGUGGCCCUCGCUUCAAAGCUUCUAAAUCAGUCUGGACCUGCAAAUAAUCAAUGGCUGAUCUCAAAUAUUCAUUGUCCAUUCUUUUCAAUGCUCCACGGAUUUUCGCUAUGGUAUGCACCAAUGGCUUUGAUUGCAUUUCGCCUGAUAAACCUAAAAUUGCUGUUGUGAAAAGAACAUUGCCACAGUAUCCGGCUGGCAAUGGUGGGUUCAAUCUUGAUCGCCCAUCUGUUGGAAUGUGUAGUUUUGUUGCUUGGUCGUUGGAGAUUCCACGUGCCUUGCAGGUGCAUUGCCAAAUAUGUGCUGCUAGGGUUUCAAAGGUGCUAUAGUUGAUAGUGCCAUCACCAACGUCUUUUCUAGACUUGUUUCUUAGGGUUCGGAGUUGAUCACAUGUGAUGGUUAGGAUUUUUGCACAAGUGGGUUUCGGAUUUGAUUGGAUUUCUGGGGUUUGGUCACCGGAGAUAUGGGUGUUCAGGGGAGGAGGGGGGUCGUAUUCUACGUGAUGCAUAGCAGGGAUAGGCGGAACUCGAGCAUCAAGCAAGGUACGGUCAAUGAACGGUGAGGUGGUAAGAGAUAGUCCUCUUGCUAUUUCAGACCACGAGUUGAUAAAAUGAAUUGCAGAAGUUCCAUCUCCUAAGAUAUGGUGUAAGCCAACUCCAAGACAUACUCCUCCACAUUUGAAGAAUGUUGCCUGUUAGCAACAUACACAGCACGUAAAUCAUAAGCAGAAAACACUUUUAAGUUUCUAAAACUCAAUACAAAUUUAAAGAAAGUUCUUUUAAAAAACUAAAAUAAUACUUUGUUUCUUCUAAAAAGAUGUCAAAUUGCAAAUAGUAAUAUAUGCAUAUUAAUUUAUUAAACUUGUUUUCCUAUCAAAGAAUGCAUGGGAGAUGCAAUGAUUGUACGUAGAUAAUGUAAUUAAACACAUUAAAUAUGGAAACUAAUAAAUCUAUUGUUAUCUCAACGUUCAAAUAAGAUCUGAGUGAUUCAAAUAAAUUAUUUUAUAAUAUGCUACUUUUCAUUUCAAAUCUAGCAUAAACCCUAAAAAAUCACGCACAACACAAAUAAUUUCAAUACUUUUGAAUAAAAUCCAAAGACAGCAUCAAAAACCUUACCUGUAACAGUAGCAGAGGAUAGGAAAAUAUGUUUGAACGAUCAACUUCUGGAACGAACUGCAGCAUCUCAAAGUGGGGAGUAAAAUCCCCCAGUUCAUCAGUGGUAGAGCUUGUUUCAACCUCGACAAAUAGAACUCCUCUGGCAUUACACAAUAUCGACAUCCUACCAUUUUGAUCCUUCUCUAACCUCCCUGCCAUAUGGUAGAAUGGCACAAGAGCCUUGCUCAGAGCCUCCUUGAGCACUUGAGGGUUAAAAAAACUGCAAGAAUCAUUAACUGGCUUGUAGAAGUAUAUUGUUGGGACGUGUACAAUUGGCACCAAGAGGUCCAGAUUUGAGCUCCAUAGGCUUUUUUUUGGUGUCUCUUCCGCAGGACGUACAAUAGUUGACUCUUUUAUUCGAAUAUCAACUUUUACCAUCUGCACAGCAACAAAAUCAUGUUAAAGACCUGUUGAUAUAUAUAAGUUGUUUAAAUUGUUGAAAAUCAACUCCAUGUUCUUAUCUUGAAAGAGAAAAAUAGAGAGAGAGAGAGAUUCGUCAUACCUUGCGGCCCUAUACAGAGAAUAAAAUUACUUUUAGAAUUAGGGGGCAAAAAAAGCUUCGUCCCCACCCUCACGCACUCAGAGGAGGAGGAAAGAGGGGCUUUUGUACACAGUUGGUGAAGACGAAUCCUAUUUAUAGAUAGACAAACAGCUUAACAUAUUUUCUUUAACGUUUUAGAAUUUAGAGGGGGAAAAAAAUGAAAGUGGGAGUUAUUAAUUUGAAGUGUCAGACAAAAUAUAAUAUUGCAAGUAAUGCAAGGUGUUCUCUAGCUACUUCUCCGACAAAUCUUAAUUUCACAUUCAUACAAAUCUUAAUAUCACAGGGAUACAAGUACAUAUUUGUUAUGGAAAGUACUUUCUGAUAAAUUAAUUUUCAAAUUUUAUUGUGUUUGUUUGUUAUUAAAAAAGUUGGUCAAUAUAAAACAUUUUCUGGUCAACAUAAAAUACUUUCUAGUCAAUGGAAAACACUUUCCGGUCAACGAAACAUAUUUUUCAGUCAAAGAAAAAUUUGGCUUGGUUUUUAGGAAAAUAUUUUUCCUUUAGCUGUGUUUGUUUUUCGGAAAGUGAUUUUCAGGAAAUCACUUUCCAAACUUUCUUGUGUUUGUUUGUCAUUAGAAAAGUUAGUCAAUGGAAAACACUUUCCAGUAAAAGAAAAAUUUAACUUAGUUUUCAAGAAAGUGUUUUCCUGAAAAUUUUGAGGGAAAAACACUUUCCGGAAGUUGUGAAAAAUUUAGAAAUGUCAUUAUUUGCUAAUUAUAUCAAAUUUGAUCCUCAAACUUUUGAUUGCUAUAUAUAUUUUGUUUUGAAUAUUUAUUUUUCAAUUUCAUCUCUUAAAAAUUUAUUUUUAUAUUAACUUUGGUCCUUAUUUUUAUAAUUGCUAUUUGCUUUUUCCUUAUCAAUUUUUUAUUGAAAUUUUUUAUCUAUCAAAUUUGGUCCUUAUUCUUUUGAUUGUUACUUAUUUUAUUUGAAAUAAUUUAUGAAAUAUUAAUUAUUAUUAUUUUAAUUUCUUCAUCUUUUUUUAUUUUUUUUUAAAAAAAUUUAGAUUUGAUCUCUAUUAUUUUGAUUAUUAUUGAUUUUAUUUGAGAUAAUUUAUGAAAUUAUAUUUUUUUUCAAUUUUUUUCUCAUUUAAAUUUUUAAUUUUUAAUACUUAUUCUUUAUUAUUUUAAUAAACUUGAGAAAAAUAAAAUAUUAAUAAGUUAUUUUUCAGCUCAUUUUCUAUUACAUAACCAAACACUGGAAAAUGUUUUCCAACUUACUUUCCAUUACACUACCAAACAUCAGAAUUCACAUUCCCGAAAUUCACAUUCCUGAAAUUUACUUUUUCAGAAUUUAUUUUUCUUAAAAUUUAUAUUUUUUUUAAAUAUUACUUCUCAGCAAAUAAACCGGCUAAAUCUUAAUUAAUAGCUACUCGGGAAUCACUAUAUAUUUUAUGGAUAUAAGAUGGUCAUGGAAUCCAUGCAUUUAAUGCCCUAGAUCAUUAUCUCUGUUGCUGUUGCACUGGGAACGACAAUAUCUCCUAUCGACACCUCAUUGGUAGUUGAGUUUAAAUGAUUGUCCUACUCCUACAUAUUGUCAUUAUCCAUGCAUUUUAAGAUAACAAAAAAUAUUUAGAAGUUCUCAAUAUUUUUUAUUCUAGUAGAAAUUUAAAUUGAAUUAACCCUAUUAAUUUUAUGAGUUUAAAAAAUAACUCGAACAACCUAUAAAAAUAUUCAUGAUGAUAUUUUUUAAUAUUAAAAUAACAAAUAUUAGAUUAAUUUGGAUCAACACAGGUUAUGAAAUUAUAAAAACUUUGUAGAAAACAUAUCAAAAUAAAUUAUAAAACUUAAUCCCCAGUCAAUUUAAUGUUGAAGAAUAAAAUUAAAAAAAAUCAAUUAUUUUUUUUAAAAAAAAGGAAAACCAAUUUAAUCUGUGAAAUUCACUACCCAAGUCAUAAAACUGAGAUAAUCUCAUAGAAAAUAAAUCAAAAUAAAUUAUGAAAUUCAAUUAUCGGUUAAAUUAAUAUUAAAUGAUAAGAUUAAAAAAAAUCAAUUAAAAAUAAUAAAAAAAAAUAACUCAAAACAUCCCCAAAUUUAUAAUAUAACUUAAAGAUAAUUUUCUCUUCAUUUAAAGUGAAAAAACGAGGCUAAUUCCUUUUUGUCACAGCAUAUUAUCAAUGAUAAUGCUCAACUAGAAUAAUUCAAGUUAUUGAUUUGGUUGGCCAAUUUCUCCCAUAUUUUUUUAGUUUUUCUUAUUAGUCGAUUAAUCAGUUGACAGGUUUCAUCGAUCGAUUAAAACAAUAAUGACUUGAAGUAUACAUUUAAUCAAAUGGUCAACCGAAAUGAUUUGUACACUCAGUCAGUCCAUCGACAUCGGAUGUUGUUGCUAUUUAUGUUUUGAAUUAUAACAAGUUAAAUGUAACAACCUCACUUUUAUUACAUUUCCAAUUUCCUGACCCGUCAUCCUAGAUUAACCCCACAUCAUUAUACACAAGAAUAGACAAUAUAUUUUAAAAGUGUAUUUUACAUGAAAAAAUAUUAAAAUAAUAUAUUUUAUAUAUUUUUUAAUUGUUUUAAUAUAUUAAUAUUAAAAAAUAUAUUUUUAAAAAGUAUUAUGCAUUAUAAUAUAAAACACACAUUAACUCAAAACCAUCUCGAAUGAAAAAAAAAAGUAAAUAAAUAAAUCGAUGUCCCUAACAAUGAUUCACUAUGGACCUACCCGACGCUGGACUUAUAAACAUGGCACUGAUGGAGUUAAACAAAUUGUCAGAAGCCAUAGAUGAUUUUUAUAUCUUUUGCAUACACCACUUGCUUUUUAAAUACAAAAUUAUUAUUUUAAUGAUAAAUUACAUUAUUAUUUUUAUCUAAACUUACAAUUAAAAAAAACAAGGCUAAAAAACUCAAAUACCCCAAACAACAAUGAAUUCAAUAAUUUGUAUCUAAAAGAUACAUGUAUAAUUCUAUUGUGUAUGAAAAGACAAAAUACUUAAAUACCCUUACCCGAGAUAACUGUUUUUUUUUAGGAUAUUUUGAUUAUUUUAUUGUUCAUUAACACAUUAAAUGUAUAAACAGAAAUAAUCGUAAACAAAUCAAUAAUGAUUAUUACAACUUGUAAAAAUAUUAAAAUACUCUUAGUCUAAAAAUUUGUUUUUUAUAUAAAGAAAAAAAAAAUGCAAAAUAAUCAUAUUACACACGGAAUGCAAUUCUAAAUUUCUAGUCCCGCCAUGAAUAAUGUUUUUCUUUUCUUGAUCCCAGACAUCUCCUCUAUGAUUGAUUGUAUCAUUAUUACCGUCCUAACUAUUUAAUUUACGACGACAUUUACAUCGAAAAAGGUGUGAAAAUAAUCCAUUAAUAAUACACAAGUUGUCAAUUCUAUUCCGUUCCGUCUGAAAUGGUCGAAAUAUUCUAUAUCAAUUCAAACAACGGAACAAAACGGAAUAAAUUUUAUCUCAUUUUAAAUCUCGGCUCGUUCUGAAUUUUUCAAAACGAUGACAAAAAGUCAUUCUACAUAUUCCGUUCCGCUCUUGAAAAGUCAUUAAAUCAAAUUAAACAUUGUUUAAUUUCAUUAACUAAAUCACCUAAUUAUAAAAAGUUCUUUUUCAUUCCUAUUUUCAAUAGCAAUGAUAUUAAUAAUAAUAUUAAAAAUUAUUAUUACUAUUUUCAUUAACAAUGAUAUUAAUUUUUUAAAAUUAGAUUUAUCACUAAUAUAUAUGGUUUAUAUUCAUGUUGUUUUUUUUUUCUUCAUAUUUAUACUUUGUAGGAAUUUGAGCAAAACAAGGAAUGCUUUAUAUUCCAUUAGCCACUUGAUAACAUUGACUUAAUUUUAUAUUUAAAAUAUUUUUGUUAAAACAUUUUAUUUUCAUAAUAUUUUGAUAUUUUAUUUAAGUUGAAUUACUUUAAGUUAAAGAUCCAUUUAAUCUUGACUAUUUAGAAAUAUUUUAAAAUUUAAAAUUAUAUUUGUUUGGCAUUGUGUUUAUAUUGCAUAAUUUAUAAUUAAUUUAUCUUGAAUUUGAAUUAUGUUUGUUGAAUAUAUAUAUAUAUAUAUAUAUGAACAGUACAACUUUAAAACGAUAUGCCAAAACAUUUCAAAACUGAAACAUUUCAUUUUAAUUGAAAAAAUAAAAUAUUUAUUGAAAUAGAAUUUACACCCUUGAUAUAAUACGUUUGAUGUAGGGCAUGGUUCGCCGUGGACCUACCAUCUUUAAUAAGUUUGAUGCACUCGGAUAAAUUGUCAGAAAGCCAUAGAUAAUUAUGGAUCCUACAAAAUGUCAUGUCCUUGCCUUUGUCUAGAUUUUAAACAUGGCAUGGAAUUAACUGGACAUCAAUUAAAAACUCAAAAAAUGAAAGGGAAAUGAGGGAAAAUAUAGAUGUAUAAAGAAACUAAAAAUCACAAAAUAUAUACAAAGCACGUCAAUCAUAAACAGAAAACACAUUUUUCAAACUCAAUAUAAAUAAAAAAAACUAGUUUUUUUCAUUUUCAAGAUAGAAAAAAUUCUCUCCUCCGAGUAGCCUAUAAAACUACUGUCUAAAUACAAAAAAAAAAAUGCUAAUAAAUAAAAUUCUAAAUAAAUUGAAAGUCAUAGUCUAAAUAAAAAGGAAUAAAAAAAACAAGAUAAAUAAAGAAAAUCUUGUGUAUAACUUAAGCUGAAUUUAGAUAUGCGAGCUGACUCAAGUGAAUUAUUUGUCUUCGAAUAUUUAAAUCUGGUAACAGGUUCUUUGCAUCUCACGUGAUAUAUUAUAUAAUUAAUCCUUACACAUCCUUCCCAUGCUAUGAGUACUUUGCCUUGGAUUGGUAAAAAACACUGUAGAACACAAAUAGUUUCAAUACUUUUGAACAAAAUCCAAAGAAACAUAAAACUCACCUGUGCGAGUAGUAGAGGAUAGGAAAAUAUGCUUGAACGAUCGACUUCUGGAAUGAACAGCAGCAUCUCAGAGUGGGGAGUAAAAUCACCCAGUUCAUCAAUGGUAGAGCUUGUUUCAGCCUCGACAAAUAGAACUCCUCUGGCAUUACACAAUAUCGACAUCCUACCAUUUUCAUCCUUCUCUAACCUCCCUGCCAUAUGGUGGAAUGGCACAAGAGCCUUGCUCAGAGCCUCCUUGAGCACUUGAGGGUCAAAAAAAGUGGAAGAACCAUUGACUGGCUUGUAGAAGUAUACUGUUGGGAUGUGUACCAUUGGCACCAAGAGGUCCAGAUUUGAGCUCCAUAGGCUUUUUUCUGGCGUGUCUUCGGCAGUGAUAAGGGAAUUUUUAGCAUAUAUAUUUUUCGCUAUUCAUGCUUGAUUUUUAAAUAUUUUGGAUAUGUUGAACAAGAAAAUUAGAAUUUUGAAUCUCUUUUUGAACUAUUGACCUCGUGGGAAAUUAAUGUGUUUUCAGAUCUUAGGUUACUAAACAGGCAGAGCCGGGCAGUGAAACUGAACAGUGAUUCAUUAUGUGCUGCAAAGAAGCUAUACAAUUUAGUUCCGGAUGUUCGUAACCAUUUUCAAAUAGCUGAGAUGAAGGUCUACAAAACAUAUGAAGGGCAUAUAACUCAGUUUUGUUGUUUCGAAGCCCAAAAAGCGAGUUGAAAAACAAGGAUUGAACCAGCCCGAAACUCCUGCACUGCAAAGACUGCUUCGGUUUAUGGCCCUUAUCUCAGCACUCAGACGUCCAAAAAUUGCAAGAUCAGUUUUGUUGGAAAGAAAAUUUGAUUCUCUACAAUUUCUCCAGAAAUAGAGAUCUUCUAAUUCGCACGUUUUCUACCUCAAAUCGGGCCCGCAAUGUCUGAGUAGGAAGGAAUUUAAUGCAGAAUAGGAAAUUUUCCUCAUUACUGCAGGGGUAGAAAAGCCACAAUAUAAAAGAAGAGAAAAAGGGGGAUUGAAAGACGGAAACCUACAACAUAGAAAAAAAAAGAGAGGAGGCGGCACCAAGGGAAAAGAAAACAUUGGCAGAGGCAAAACUAUUCAAAAACCGGGAGGACACCUAUCUUUUCGACGGAAAUUCUCUGCUUUUGAGUGAUGUUCAUCGUAUCAAGUUUGUUUCUCUUUAAUUUAACUAUGGAGUAGACUUUUAUUCUGGGAUUUUUGAUGUAACCUUACUAUGAAUAUGUGAACAAUUUCUUCGAUUGAAUUAUUACAUUAAGAUGUUGAGUAUUUGAUUCUAUGUGUAAUGCUUGCGUGUGUUUGGCCAACAUUUGCAUGAUUUAGAAUUCAAUUUGAAACUGAGAAGUAAUAAUUGUUUUAGCUAUUGUUUGAAAUACCUUAAGAAAUCUAUAGGAUAGAGAUAUCCUAUGAACUUUUGUAAUCGUUACAGGUUUUACAGUACUUAAUAAAUAUCGACAAGUUCAGAACUUUCGUAGAGUAUAUGAAAUUUGUUUGUCGAAAUAAUUUAUUGAUGCUCGAGAGAGAUUAAUAUUUACAUUAGAAAAACCUGAUUAUCAACAUUAGGAGUAAUUAAUUUAAUUGAGAAAGUUCACAUAGGCAUAGUUACGGUAAGUCAGAAAUCCUAGAACCAGUACAAUUGAAUUCAUUAAUAUUUAAUCAAAUAGUUGUUACCUUUUAAUCAUUAAUUUUUGCAAAUCCUCGUGGGACGAUACUCUACUCAUCACUUUAUUACUUGUUACGAUUUAUGCACUUGCAAAAAUAACCAACAAGUUUUUGGCGCCGUUGCCGGGGAUUUUAGAUAAAAUUACUAAUAAUAUCAAUAUAAAUUAAAUUUGAUCUAAUUUGAUUGCCUUUUGUCUUCAGCUCUUUAGGUGUGUGUCUAGUGCAUGAGAAGCAACAAAAAUUAGCCGUUGCUACCUUAUAAUCCUGAGAUUGAGAGAACUGCAAGGGGAUUAAGAAAGAAAACGCGAGAGACUCAAAACAGUUCAAGCAUCAUGGUAGACAAUGGAAAUCCUGAGCAAGAUACACGGGCAUUGAGAGAUUUUGCUCUCCCACAGGUGACAGGAAUCCGUUCUGUUAUCAGGAAACCAAGGAUUGAGGCCAAUAAUUUUGAGAUCAAACCAGCAAUACUGCAGAUGAUUCAGACCUCAGUUCAGUUUUAUGGGUUGCCAAGUGAUGAUCCUAACGCCCAUAUUGCAAGCUUCUUGGAAAUUUGCGACACAUUUAAGCAUAAUGGCGUUACUGAUGAUGCCAUUCGCCUCAGACUGUUUCCAUUUUCUUUGCGAGAUAGAGCGAAGAACUGGUUAAACUCCAUGCCUGCAGAUUCAGUUAUCAGCUGGGAAGAUUUAGCUCAGAAAUUCCUUGCUAAAUUUUUUCCACCAGCCAAGACAGCAAAAAUGCGCAUUGAGAUAGCUAACUUCGCCCAACUUGAGAGUGAACCAUUGUAUGAGGCAUGGGAGAGAUACAAGGAUUUGCUCAGGCGAUGCCCCCACCAUGGACUACCGAAGUGGAUGCAGGUGCAGAAUUUUUACAAUGGAUUGAAUGCCUCCACAAGAACACUAAUUGAUGCAGCUUCAGGAGGAGCUUUUAUGAGUAAGUCACAGGAUGAUGCUUACAACUUAUUGGAAGAAAUGGCUAUGAACAAUUACCAAUGGCCAAAUGAAAGAAGCAUACAGAAGAAGACUAUUGGGGUGCACGAAAUUGAUGCAAUCACGGCAUUAACAGCUCAAGUCCAUUCACUAACUCAGCAACUGAAAACCACUCAACUGUCAGCAAAUGCCAUCCAUACAACGUGUGAUUUUUGUCAUGGAAAUCACACGAGUGAAGAGUGUCAGGUUGGGAACCCAUUCUCUCAAGCAGAGCAUGCUCAUUUUGUGUCAAAUUACAGCCGGCAGAACAACCCCUACAGUGCAACAUAUAAUCCCGGUUGGAGAAAUCAUCCUAAUUUCUCAUGGAACAAUCAAACUGUCAUGAAGAAUCCAGCCAUGCCAUCUUCAAGUGAGCACAUGAAGGAGAAAUCAAAACUUGAAGAAGCUAUGACACAAUUAGCAAACAACACCAGCAGAUUCAUGACUGAUACAAAUACCAAUCUGCAGAACCAAGCAGCGUCAAUUCGAAAUUUGGAGGUUCAGGUUGGUCAGUUAGCCAACAUGCUCACGGGUAGACAACAAGGAAAUCUACCAAGCACAACUGAAAUUAAUCCUAAGGAGCAAUGCAAGGCCAUAACUUUAAGAAGUGGAAAAGAAGUGGAGCAGACUGCUGGAAACAAGAGUGCGGGAAGAGAAGAAGAGGAGCAAAUGGCCGAACCAAUUCAGAAUAUGAAAAAAUCUGAUCCUCUGCCAGAACCAAUGCAAGAAAUAAUGCAAAGAAUUCCAUUUCCACAACGUCUCAAGAAGAAUAAACUUGAUAAGCAAUUUUCUAAAUUUCUUGAUGUGUUUAAAAAAUUGCAGAUUAACAUUCCUUUUACAGAUGCUCUUGAACAAAUGCCAAGCUAUGUGAAAUUUCUGAAGGACAUCCUCUCAAACAAAAGAAAGCUAGAGGAAUAUGAGACUGUCGCUCUUACUGAGGAAUGCAGUGCUAUUUUGCAGAAGAAACUGCCUCCUAAACUUAAGGAUCCAGGGAGUUUUACUAUACCAUGUUCCAUUGGAAAUUCUAUAUUUGAAAAAGCUUUAUGUGAUUUAGGUGCAAGUAUUAAUCUCAUGCCUUUAUCUAUUUUAAGAAGCUUGGUUUAGGUGAAGCAAGGCCAACCACAGUAACACUGCAGCUAGCUGACAGGUCAUUGAAGCAUCCAAGGGGAAUAAUUGAAGAUGUAUUGGUGAAAGUGGGCAAGUUCAUCUUUCCAGCAGACUUCAUCAUACUGGAUAUGGAGGAGGAUAAUGAGAUUCCUAUCUUGCUUGGCCGGCCAUUCUUGGCCACUGGAGGUGCGUUAAUUGAUGUGAAAAAGGGGAGCUGCGGUUAAGGGUGAAUGAAGAGGAGGUGAUUUUCAAUGUGUUCAAAGCCAUCAAACAACCAGAUAUGGGGGAGAGUUGCUUCAGCAUUCAAGUGGUGGACUCCUUAAUUAAUGAAAAAGUCAAGCUUCCAACUGACCCGUUGGAAGCAUGUUUGGUAAAUAAUGUACUGGAAGAGGAUGCUGAAAUAGCAGAAUAUACAUGUUGGAUGGACUCUUUUGAACCUAACCGUAGAAGAUACUUUGAAGAUUUGGGACAACCAGCACCAAAGAUAAAAUCAACCAGUGAACAAGCACCGGUUCUGGAAUUGCAACCUCUGCCAGAACACCUUCGGUAUGCAUAUCUUGGAGAAGCUUCCACCUAUCCUGUGAUAGUCUCUGCAAAGCUGACCAAAACAGAGGAAGAAAAAUUGUUGAGGGUGUUGAGAAAACAUAAGGCAGCUCUCGGGUGGGUAUUGGCAGAUAUCAAAGGCAUCAGUCCCUCUAUUUGCAUGCAUAAAAUUCUGUUGGAGGAUGAAGUCAAGCCAACAGUAGAACAUCAGAGAAGGCUUAACCCGACCAUGAAAGAGGUAGUCCGAAAAGAAGUUCUGAAAUGGUUAGAUGCUGGUGUUAUUUAUCCAAUCUCUGAUAGCUCAUGGGUGAGCCCAGUUCAAGUUGUGCCAAAGAAAGGAGGAAUGACAGUGGUAAAGAUGCAAACAACAACUUGAUACCUACUAGACCGGUAACUGGAUGGAGGAUUUAUGGAUUAUCGAAAGCUCAACAAGGCAACUCGCAAAGAUCACUUCCCCCUACCAUUCAUUGAUCAGAUGCUGGACAGGUUAGCUGGGCAUGAAUACUACUGUUUCCUAGAUGGCUAUUCAGGAUACAACCAAAUAGCCAUCGCACCUGAGGACCAGAGAAGACCACUUUCACCUGCCCUUAUGGUACUUUUGCUUUCAGAAGAAUGCCUUUUGGGUUGUGUAAUGCACCAGCUACCUUUCAAGGUGCAUGAUGGCUAUUUUUUCAGAUAUGGUGGAGCAAAUCAUUGAGAUCUUCAUGGAUGACUUUUCUGUAUUUGGAACUUCUUUUGAUGACUGCCUUGCAAAGUUGGCGUUGGUUUUGGAGCGUUGUGAAAAGACAAACUUGAUAUUGAACUGGGAAAAAUGUCACUUCAUGGUAAAGGAAGGUAUAGUGGGGCACCGGAUUUCAGAAAAAGGAAUAGAGGUAGACAGAGCUAAAAUUGAGGCAAUAGACAAGCUUCUGCCGCCAACUACAGUAAAAGGGGUUAGGAGUUUCCUUGGUCAUGCGGGAUUUUAUAGGAGGUUCAUCAAAGACUUCUCUAAAAUAUCCAACUAUGCAGUCUGCUGCUAAAAGACACAAAGUUUCAGUUUGAUGAGGAAUGCAAGACACCUUUAUGCUGUUGAAAAAGAAGUUAGUGACAGCUCCUAUUGUAAUUGCACCGGAUUGGGAGAAACCAUUUGAGCUUAUGUGUGAUGCAAGUGAUUAUGCAGUUGGAGCAGUACUGGGGCAACGGAAAAAUAAUGUGUUUCACACCAUAUACUAUGCCAGCAGAACACUCAACGAUGCCCAGCUCAAUUAUGCCACAACCGAGAAAGAGUUGCUUGUUGUGGUCUAUGCAUUUGAUAAGUUUCGGCCUUACCUGAUGGGAAACAAAGUACUGGUAUAUACUGAUCAUGCUGCAAUUAGACACCUAGUGUCUAAGAAAGAUGCCAAGCCUAGACUCAUCCGUUGGAUCCUAUUACUGCAAGAAUUGAUGUAGAAAUUAAAGAAAAAGGGGACUGAGAACGUGGUGGCAGAUCAUCUUUCAAGGCUGGAAUUGACACAGCAGCUGGAGCCUAAAUUCACGGUUAUAAAUGAAUGUUUUCCUGAUGAAGACUCUUAGCAAUUUCCACUAACAAAUUCUUUCCUUGGUAUGCAGAUUAUGUCAACUUUCUUGCAGGUAAGAUCAUACCGCCAGAUUUUUCUUACCAGCAAAAGAAGAAAUUUUUUUCUGAAGUCAAACACUACUUCUGGGAGGAGCCGAUACUCUAUCGGCAUUGUGCAGAUCAAGUCAUCAGGCGGUGUUCCAGAAGAGGAAAUGACAAAAUAUUGAAGCACUGCCAUACACUUGAAUAUGGGGGGCACUUUGGCACACGCACUGCAGCCAAAGUUCUGCAAGUCAGGUUUUUAUUGGCCCACUAUGUUUAAAGAUGCUCAUGCUUUUGUUACUACUUGUGAUAGAUGUCAGCAUACUGGGAACAUAUCUCGAAGAAAUGAAAUGCCACUACAGAAUAUCCUAGAAGUUGAAUUAUUUGAUGUUUGGGGCAUCGAUUUCAUGGGACCUUUUCCUUCAUCCUAUAACAACAAAUACAUUCUCUUAGCAGUGGAUUAUGUAUCAAAGUGGAUGAGGCAAUUGCAACGCCUACAAAUGAUGGCAAGGUGGUACUUAAUUUCUACGAAAGAACAUCUUUACCAGAUUUGGUACUCCUCGAGCCAUCAUCAGUGAUGAAGGAACUCAUUUUUGCAACAAGCAGUUUGAAGCACUGUUAUCUAAGUAUGGAGUCAGACACAAAAGAGCAUUGGCUUAUCAUCCUCAGACAAAUGGCCAAACAGAGGUAUCAAAUAGAGAGGUGAAGCAAAUCUUAGAGAAAACAGUAAGUAAUUCUCAAAGAUUGGGCAAGAAAGCUAGAUGAUGCAUUGUGGGCAUAUCGGACAGCAUUCAAAACACCAUUGGGAAUGUCUCCGUAUCGAUUAGUUUUUGGAAAAGCAUGUCAUCUUCCUGUUGAAUUAGAGCAUAAGGCAUACUGGGCAAUGAAACAACUGAACAUGGAUUUGCAGGUUGCAGGUGAGAAAAGAAUCCUGCAACUUAAUGAGAUGGAUGAAUUUCGCAAUGAGUCCUAUGAAAAUGCCAAGAUAUACAAGGAAAGAACCAAGGCAUGGCAUGACAAACACAUUGUACGCAAGGAGUUUGUCCCUGGUCAACAGGUAUUACUCUUCAAUUCACGGCUCCGCUUGUUUCCUGGUAAGCUUAAAUCACGAUGGUCAGGACCAUUUACGGUUGUGAAGGUAUUUCCUUAUGGAGCAGUAGAGGUCACCCAUGAUGAAAAGGGAACAUUUACAGUGAAUGGGCAGCGUCUGAAGCAUUAUAGGAAUGGAGAGUCUAUUGGGAAAAGGGAUGAUAUCCCUCUCACUUCAUCUUAGAUAAAUGGAAAACUCAAGCUAAUGACUAUAACUAAGCGCUGAUUGGGAGGCAACCCAAAAAAAAAAAAAAAAAACCCUUAUGUGUUUCAUUGAGUUGUGCAGGAAUUGAUGAUACAAGAAAAUAACCAGGAGCAACAACAAACUCACACCCACAAAGUCAAAAGGAAGUAUUCGUAAGCCUUUCUAUUCUUCAUUUUUCCAUUGAGGACAAUGUGAUAUUUAAGUUUGGGGGAGACAUUGCAUGCUUUGACUAUGAAAGACACUGCACACUAGAACCAUGAAAACAGAGGGUGAAAAGUGAUAUGCAUUUAAGACCAACUUGACAUUUUUAGGUGCUUCAUGAUGUAACCAUGAUAUUUCUUGGCUUAGAGCGGAUGAUAUCUUAUAAAGUUGGAUUAAGCAUGACUAUUUUCUUUUGAAUUAUUGAAGUACACUUUUCCAGCACAAUCAUGUGAAUUGUGUAGUUAUGCAUAAGAGAUAAGUGUGCUGUUCUUUCUUGUUAUUACCCUCUAAGAAAAAUAUUAAAACAAGGAGUGAUAAUGAGUAUGAAAUGAAUGAAUAAGUAUAUGAUGUGUAUCUACUCCAAUGUUUUGAGUUGCUUAGUAACUAGGAGUAUUCAUCACAAAUGUUUACUUUUACGUCAAACGGCAGCUUAAAAUUUGAGUAUGCAAAGCAUUUUAAGUUUAUGACCUGUUAAGUAACCGGGUGCAUUCAUCACAAAUGUUUGUAUUCGCGUCAAAAGACAAGUGAUAAAUUUAAAAAAAUCACCCUUGUCAAAAGACAAGUAAAAGUGUGUUAUUACUCCUAAAGUUGGCUACCUUGUUUAAAAAAAAAAAAAAAUAAAAAAAAAAAAAAGUAAUGACGGAAUGACUGUGCACGGUUCAAGGAUGCUAACACAUGAAACACAUGGAUGAGUUGGAAGUUUGUACAACGACCUGAAGAGAGUAGAAUGCUUAAUUUUUCAUUAUCUAAUAUUGUCUAUGAGCUAAGUCAAGAAGUGAACGCUGCAUGAUGGGGCCUUUUAAAUGUGAAAGUUGAACUUAUCAUGAGCUUUUAGCACUCUGCUUUCAUGGUUUCCUUUUUGCUUGAGGACAAGCAAACAUUCAAGUUUGGGGGUAUUUGAUAAGGGAAUUUUUAGCAUAUAUAUUUUUCGCUAUUCAUGCUUGAUUUUUAAAUAUUUUGGAUAUGUUGAACAAGAAAAUUAGAAUUUUGAAUCUCUUUUUGAACUAUUGACCUCGUGGGAAAUUAAUGUGUUUUCAGAUCUUAGGUUACUAAACAGGCAGAGCCGGGCAGUGAAACUGAACAGUGAUUCAUUAUGUGCUGCAAAGAAGCUAUACAAUUUAGUUCCGGAUGUUCGUAACCAUUUUCAAAUAGCUGAGAUGAAGGUCUACAAAACAUAUGAAGGGCAUAUAACUCAGUUUUGUUGUUUCGAAGCCCAAAAAGCGAGUUGAAAAACAAGGAUUGAACCAGCCCGAAACUCCUGCACUGCAAAGACUGCUUCGGUUUAUGGCCCUUAUCUCAGCACUCAGACGUCCAAAAAUUGCAAGAUCAGUUUUGUUGGAAAGAAAAUUUGAUUCUCUACAAUUUCUCCAGAAAUAGAGAUCUUUAAUUCGCACGUUUUCUACCUCAAAUCGGGCCCGCAAUGUCUGAGUAGGAAGGAAUUUAAUGCAGAAAGGAAACUUUCCUCAUUACUGCAGGGGUAGAAAAGCCACAAUAUAAAAGAAGAAAAAGGGGGAUUGAACAGCGGAAAACCUACAACAUAGAAAACAAAAAGAGAGGAGGCGGCACCAAGGAAAAAAGAAAAUACACCUUUGGCAGAGGCAAAACUAUUCAAAAACCGGGAGGACACCUAUCUUUUCGACGGAAAUUCUCUGCUUUUGAGUGAUGUUCAUCGUAUCAAGUUUGUUUCUCUUUAAUUUAACUAUGGAGUAGACUUUUAUUCUGGGAUUUUUGAUGUAACCUUACUAUGAAUAUGUGAACAAUUUCUUCGAUUGAAUUAUUACAUUAAGAUGUUGAGUAUUUGAUUCUAUGUGCAAUGCUUGCGUGUGUUUGGCCAACAUUUGCAUGAUUUAGAAUUCAAUUUGAAACUGAGAAGUAAUAAUUGUUUUAGCUAUUGUUUGAAAUACCUUAAGAAAUCUAUAGGAUAGAGAUAUCCUAUGAACUUUUGUAAUCGUUACAGGUUUUACAGUACUUAAUAAAUAUCGACAAGUUCAGAACUUUCGUAGAGUAUAUGAAAUUUGUUUGUCGAAAUAAUUUAUUGAUGCUCGAGAGAGAUUAAUAUUUACAUUAGAAAAACCUGAUUAUCAACAUUAGGAGUAAUUAAUUUAAUUGAGAAAGUUCACAUAGGCAUAGUUACGGUAAGUCAGAAAUCCUAGAACCAGUACAAUUGAAUUCAUUAAUAUUUAAUCAAAUAGUUGUUACCUUUUAAUCAUUAAUUUUUGUUUCAUAAACUAUCUCAUUUGAUUCUUCAAAUAGAUCAUAAUUUAAAAGACUUUGGUAAUUAGUAGUAAUUUUUGUAAAUCCUCGUGGGACGAUACUCUACUCAUCACUUUAUUACUUGUUACGAUUUGUGCACUUGCAAAAAUAACCAACAGGCAGGUCGCACGAUAGUUGACUCUUUUAUUCGGAUUUCAACUCUUACCAUCUGCAUAUUUGCAACAAAAUCCUGUUAAAGUCCUGUUUGUUGAUAUAUGCUGUUUAAAUUGUUGAAAAUCAACUCCAUGUUUGCUUAGCUUAGUACAUUGCAGUAUAUGUUAAAUAUUAAUGAAGCAGAAUUAAAUAUUUAAACUCAUACUUUAUUCGCCUAGUUAGAAUUUUCUUCUUAGAAGAAAAAAAAAAUAGAGGGGGGGGGGGUGUGCGCAGAUGGUGACGACCACUCGUAUUUAUAGAAGAAAAAAAAG
Molecule: long non-coding RNA, 30994 nt
Filed under: Populus tremula
Lineage: Eukaryota; Viridiplantae; Streptophyta; Magnoliopsida; Malpighiales; Salicaceae
Description: long non-coding RNA (PTRE_LNC002432)
Source: RNAcentral